RNAcentral lists this transfer RNA (72 nucleotides) under Deltaproteobacteria bacterium. RNAcentral describes it as "tRNA-Asn". It matches the Rfam family "tRNA". Rfam says of the family: Transfer RNA (tRNA) molecules are approximately 80 nucleotides in length. Their secondary structure includes four short double-helical elements and three loops (D, anti-codon, and T loops). The record is from RNAcentral. Lineage: Bacteria; Pseudomonadati; Myxococcota; Myxococcia.
UCCGGAGUAGCUCAGGGGUAGAGCGGCGCUCUGUUAAGGCGUGGGUCGGUGGUUCGAGACCAUCCUCCGGAG